UACGGGGGGGGCAAGCGUUGUUCGGAAUUACUGGGCGUAAAGGGCUCGUAGGCGGCUCGUUAAGUCAGACGUGAAAGCCCUCGGCUUAACCGGGGAACGGCGUCUGAGACUGGCAAGCUUGAAUCCGGGAGAGGGAUGCGGAAUUCCAGGUGUAGCGGUGAAAUGCGCAGAUAUCAGGAAGAACACCAAUGGCGAAGGCAGCUCUCUGGGACGGUACUGACGCUGAGACGCGAAAGCGUGGGGAGCGAACAGG
This 253-nucleotide ribosomal RNA is filed under the name uncultured bacterium. Its description in RNAcentral is "partial 16S ribosomal RNA". It matches the Rfam family "Bacterial small subunit ribosomal RNA", at positions 524 to 776 of the family's 1533-position model. The record is from RNAcentral.